CAAUCGGCCCUUUUCAGGGCCACCAAAAAUAAUUCAAACACAAUUU
Regulatory RNA element from Lasius niger, 46 nucleotides. It matches the Rfam family "Histone 3' UTR stem-loop". From Rfam's summary of the family: The mRNAs of metazoan histone genes lack a poly-A tail. 3' end processing occurs at a site between a highly conserved stem-loop (modelled by this family) and a purine rich region around 20 nts downstream (the histone downstream element, or HDE). The record is from Rfam. Lineage: Eukaryota; Metazoa; Arthropoda; Insecta; Hymenoptera; Formicidae.